Molecule: ribosomal RNA, 598 nt
Filed under: uncultured archaeon
Lineage: Archaea
Description: bacterial SSU rRNA
Rfam family: Archaeal small subunit ribosomal RNA
Source: RNAcentral
UUCAGGUUGAUCCUGCCGGACCUGACUGCUAUCUGAUUGGUACUAAGCCAUGCGAGUCGUUGUACAAUACAAGGCGGACUGCUCAGUAACACGUAGUUAACUUAACCUAUGGAUGGGAAUAACCUCGGGAAACUGAGAAUAAUACCCAAUGGGCCACAGUGCCUGGAAUGGCCUGUGGUUGAAAUGAUUUAUCGCCGUAGGAUAGGACUGCGGCCUAUCAGCUUGUUGGUGAGGUAAUGGCCCACCAAGGCUAUAACAGGUACGGGCUCUGAGAGGAGGGGCCCGGAGAUGGGUACUGAGACACGGACCCAGGCCCUAUGGGGCGCAGCAGGCGAGAAACCUUUGCAAUGUGCGAAAGCACGACAAGGUUAAUCCGAGUGUCUCCUGCUAAAGGAGUCUUUUGUCAGUUGUAGAAUCACUGGUGAAUAAGGGGUGGGCAAGUUCUGGUGUCAGCCGCCGCGGUAAAACCAGCACCUCGAGUGGUCAGGAGGUUUAUUGGGCCUAAAGCAUCCGUAGCCGGUUGCAUAAGUUUCGGUUAAAUCUAUGCGCUUAACGUAUAGGCCGCCGAAAAUUACUGUGCAGCUAGGAGUGGGAGAGG